AUUGAACGCUUUCCUCCUGCCUUCCCCCUGCACGUCGACCGGUAACGGGCCUUCGGGUGCCGACGAGUGGCGAACGGGUGAGUAAUACAUCGGAACGUGCCCGAUCGUGGGGGAUAACGAGGCGAAAGCUUUGCUAAUACCGCAUACGAUCUACGGAUGAAAGCAGGGGACCGCAAGGCCUUGCGCGGACGGAGCGGCCGAUGGCAGAUUAGGUAGGUGGUGGGAUAAAAGCUUACCAAGCCGACGAUCUGUAGCUGGUCUGAGAGGAUGAUCAGCCACACUGGGACUGAGACACGGCCCAGACUCCUAUGGGAGGCAGCAGUGGGGAAUUUUGGACAAUGGGCGCAAGCCUGAUCCAGCCAUGCCGCGUGCAGGAUGAAGGCCUUCGGGUUGUAAACUGCUUUGGUACGGAACGAAAAGCCUUCUUUUAAUACAGGAGGGUCAUGACGGUACCGUAAGAAUAAGCACCGGCUAACUACGUG
This 482-nucleotide ribosomal RNA is filed under the name uncultured bacterium. Its description in RNAcentral is "partial 16S ribosomal RNA". It matches the Rfam family "Bacterial small subunit ribosomal RNA", at positions 30 to 507 of the family's 1533-position model. The record is from RNAcentral.